Molecule: ribosomal RNA, 254 nt
Filed under: uncultured bacterium
Lineage: Bacteria
Description: partial 16S ribosomal RNA
Rfam family: Bacterial small subunit ribosomal RNA
Source: RNAcentral
GACGAACCGUGCGAACGUUGUUCGGAAUCACUGGGCUUAAAGGGCGCGUAGGCGGCCCGCCGCGUCCGGGGUGAAAUCCUCCCGCUCAACGGGAGGACGGCCUCGGAUACGGGCGGGCUGGAGUUCGGUAGGGGAGACUGGAAUUCCUGGUGUAGCGGUGAAAUGCGCAGAUAUCAGGAGGAACACCGGUGGCGAAGGCGGGUCUCUGGGCCGAUACUGACGCUGAGGAGCGAAAGCGUGGGGGAGCGAACAGG